UGUAAGGUGGCUGAGUAUAAAUAGGCGUUGGAUUGUAAUUCCAAUAACGGGUAUAGUACCCCUUUACAG
This 69-nucleotide transfer RNA is filed under the name Amphiura sp. JN-2020. RNAcentral's name for it is "tRNA-Tyr". The record is from RNAcentral. Lineage: Eukaryota; Metazoa; Echinodermata; Ophiuroidea; Amphilepidida; Amphiuridae.